Molecule: ribosomal RNA, 494 nt
Filed under: uncultured bacterium
Lineage: Bacteria
Description: partial 16S ribosomal RNA
Rfam family: Bacterial small subunit ribosomal RNA
Source: RNAcentral
GACGAACGCUGGCGGCGUGCUUAACACAUGCAAGUCGAACGGAAAGGCCUGCUUUCCCUUGUGGAUUGCGGGUACUCGAGUGGCGAACGGGUGAGUAACACGUGAGUGAUCUGCCCCCAACUUGGGUAUAAGCCUGGGAAACUGGGUCUAAUUCCCGAUAGGACUGCAGGGUGGUGCCUGUGGUGGAAAACGAUUUUCUAGUGGUUGGGGAUGAGCUCGCGGCCUAUCAGCUUGUUGGUGGGGUAAUGGCCUACCAGGGCGGCGACGGGUAGCCGGCCUGAGAGGGUGGACGGCCGCAUUGGGACUGGGAUACGGCCCAGACUCCUACGGGCGGCAGCAGUGGGGAAUAUUGCACAAAGGGCGGAAGCCUGGUGCAGCGACGCCGCGUGGGGGAUGACGGCCUUCGGGUUGUAAACUCCUCUCGACCGCGAGGAAGCCACCUGGUUGGAAGGGUGGUGACGGUAGUGGUAGAAGAAGCACCGGCUAACUACGUG